UUCAGCUCACACGCAUAACACAUAGACAUGGCUGAAAAACAAAAAGCCCCAACCUCCAACCACCAGAGAUGACACCAUUGAAGAAGCUGCCGGAUAGUGUAGAAAAGCCACUGGAUCCGCUAGCUGUUUGCGUGGUGGUUACAAACCCAACCCUCCUUACUCAUCUUCCACUUCCACUAGUACAACUCGCUAGAGCCGCCGUUGUUUCAAAUGUAUUUUUGUGCUGUGCGGCUUUGUUUAAGCAUCUCUAGUGGUUGGAGGCUGGGACUUUUUGUUCAUCAGUCAUGUGCGGUGCGUGUGAGGCUGUGAGCUGAAGGUGAGUGAUUUAUUUAUUUAUGAAUUUGGUUUUUAAUAUGUGGUUAUGUGUUGCACACGUACGUAUUUCAUCGUUUAGUAAACUGAUGCUUUUUUUGGAUGAAUAAUAAUGCUGUUGACAUCGUGAUUUAUGACCUGA
Long non-coding RNA from Quercus robur (English oak), 454 nucleotides. RefSeq lists it as uncharacterized. Lineage: Eukaryota; Viridiplantae; Streptophyta; Magnoliopsida; Fagales; Fagaceae. The record is from RefSeq and is a predicted model, not a curated record. The transcript is spliced from 2 exons.